Balaenoptera musculus (blue whale) is the source of this 125-nucleotide small nucleolar RNA. Its record names the gene SNORA70. It matches the Rfam family "Small nucleolar RNA SNORA70". From Rfam's summary of the family: snoRNA U70 seems to be exclusive to mammals and is a member of the H/ACA class of snoRNA which contain H (ANANNA) and ACA box motifs. H/ACA box snoRNAs are involved in the conversion of uridines to pseudouridines (5-ribosyluracil) a constituent of structural RNAs (transfer, ribosomal, small nuclear, and small nucleolar). Lineage: Eukaryota; Metazoa; Chordata; Mammalia; Artiodactyla; Balaenopteridae. The record is from Ensembl.
CUGCAGUCAGUUAAGCCAACGAUGCUCUUUUCCCCAGUGUACAAUGGCUGCAAACAGCAGCCUCCUUGGUAGUGUAUGCAGCCUGUUGCCUGUAUGGGUUUCCCUAAGGGACCUUGGAGACAGCC